Molecule: ribosomal RNA, 910 nt
Filed under: uncultured bacterium
Lineage: Bacteria
Description: bacterial SSU rRNA
Rfam family: Bacterial small subunit ribosomal RNA
Source: RNAcentral
ACGCUAGCUACAGGCUUAACACAUGCAAGUCGAGGGGAAACGGCAUUGAGUGCUUGCACUCUUUGGACGUCGACCGGCGCACGGGUGAGUAACGCGUAUCCAACCUUCCCAUUACUGUGGGAUAACCUGCCGAAAGGCAGACUAAUACCGCAUAGUCUUCGAUGACGGCAUCAGAUUUGAAGUAAAGAUUUAUCGGUAAUGGAUGGGGAUGUGUCUGAUUAGCUUGUUGGCGGGGUAACGGCCCACCAAGGCAACGAUCAGUAGGGGUUCUGAGAGGAAGGUCCCCCACAUUGGAACUGAGACACGGUCCAAACUCCUACGGGAGGCAGCAGUGAGGAAUAUUGGUCAAUGGACGGAAGUCUGAACCAGCCAAGUAGCGUGCAGGAUGACGGCCCUAUGGGUCGUAAACUGCUUUUGUAUGGGGAUAAAGUUAGGGACGUGUCCCUAUUUGCAGGUACCAUACGAAUAAGGACCGGCUAAUUCCGUGCCAGCAGCCGCGGUAAUACGGAAGGUCCAGGCGUUAUCCGGAUUUAUUGGGUUUAAAGGGAGCGUAGGCUGGAGAUUAAGUGUGUUGUGAAAUGUAGACGCUCAACGUCUGACUUGCAGCGCAUACUGGUUUCCUUGAGUACGCACAACGUUGGCGGAAUUCGUCGUGUAGCGGUGAAAUGCUUAGAUAUGACGAAGAACUCCGAUUGCGAAGGCAGCUGACGGGAGCGCAACUGACGCUUAAGCUCGAAGGUGCGGGUAUCAAACAGGAUUAGAUACCCUGGUAGUCCGCACAGUAAACGAUGGAUGCCCGCUGUUGGUACCUGGUAUCAGCGGCUAAGCGAAAGCAUUAAGCAUCCCACCUGGGGAGUACGCCGGCAACGGUGAAACUCAAAGGAAUUGACGGGGGCCCGCACAAGCGGAG